GUGUUCGUGGUGUACGGGUGUGCACGCCGGAUUGUGGUUCCGGAAGGCGAGGGUUCGAGUCCCUGCGUUCACC
Molecule: transfer RNA, 73 nt
Filed under: Asanoa hainanensis
Lineage: Bacteria; Bacillati; Actinomycetota; Actinomycetes; Micromonosporales; Micromonosporaceae
Description: Asanoa sp. 210121 tRNA
Rfam family: tRNA
About the family: Transfer RNA (tRNA) molecules are approximately 80 nucleotides in length. Their secondary structure includes four short double-helical elements and three loops (D, anti-codon, and T loops).
Source: Rfam by way of RNAcentral